RNAcentral lists this ribosomal RNA (401 nucleotides) under uncultured bacterium. RNAcentral describes it as "bacterial SSU rRNA". It matches the Rfam family "Bacterial small subunit ribosomal RNA", at positions 917 to 1322 of the family's 1533-position model. The record is from RNAcentral.
GGGCCUGCACAAGCGGUGGAGCAUGCGGAUUAAUUCGAUGCAACGCGAAGAACCUUACCAAGGCUUGACAUAUAGAGGAAAAGUGCAGAAAUGCACUCCCCGCAAGGUCUCUAUACAGGUGGUGCAUGGUUGUCGUCAGCUCGUGUCGUGAGGUGUUAGGUUAAGUCCUGCAACGAGCGCAACCCCUAUUCUUAGUUGCCAGCGGUUCGGCCGGGGACUCUAAGAAGACUGCCAGCGCAAGCUGAGAGGAAGGUGGGGAUGACGUCAAAUCAUCACGGCCCUUACGUCCUGGGCUACACACGUGCUACAAUGGUAGAGACAGAGGGCAGCCACCUGGUGACAGGGAGCGAAUCCUUAAACUCUAUCUCAGUUCGGAUCGAAGUCUGCAACUCGACUUCGUG